GCUGGUUUUCCAUCUCCGUCAGAAUGCUCCGGCUCAGCUCCUGCAACGCCGAGAAGCUCACACAGGAAGAAGGCUUCGGAACACGCAGUGACAACCGACGAGAGUGGCUCCACCUUGGUUUUUGUUUAAACAAGAAAAUCAAGUUGAGCAACCCACACACAUGGGAGAGACCCAGGAAAACUGACUCGCUCACUAUGAUGGCCGAAGCCCUCAUCGUAAAUAAACCUCACUGUGCUGAACUCA
This is a long non-coding RNA of Capra hircus (goat), 243 nucleotides long. RefSeq lists it as uncharacterized. Lineage: Eukaryota; Metazoa; Chordata; Mammalia; Artiodactyla; Bovidae. The transcript is spliced from 2 exons. The record is from RefSeq and is a predicted model, not a curated record.